RNAcentral lists this transfer RNA (75 nucleotides) under Chitinophaga agri. Its description in RNAcentral is "Chitinophaga sp. H33E-04 tRNA-OTHER". It matches the Rfam family "tRNA". Rfam says of the family: Transfer RNA (tRNA) molecules are approximately 80 nucleotides in length. Their secondary structure includes four short double-helical elements and three loops (D, anti-codon, and T loops). Further hydrogen bonds mediate the characteristic L-shaped molecular structure. tRNAs have two regions of fundamental functional importance: the anti-codon, which is responsible for specific mRNA codon recognition, and the 3' end, to which the tRNAs corresponding amino acid is attached (by aminoacyl-tRNA synthetases). tRNAs cope with the degeneracy of the genetic code in two manners: having more than one tRNA (with a specific anti-codon) for a particular amino acid; and 'wobble' base-pairing, i.e. permitting non-standard base-pairing at the 3rd anti-codon position. Lineage: Bacteria; Pseudomonadati; Bacteroidota; Chitinophagia; Chitinophagales; Chitinophagaceae. The record is from RNAcentral.
AUUCGUUGUAGCUCAGUGGCAGAGCGCACCGGUGUAUACUGGGAAAGGUCGUGAGUUCAAUUCUCAUCAGCGAUA